GAAGGUCCCCCACAUUGGUACUGAGACACGGACCAGACUCCUACGGGAGGCAGCAGUGAGGAAUAUUGGUCUAUGGACGGAAGUCUGAACCAGCCAAGUCGCGUGAAGGACGAAGGUAUUAUGUAAUGUAAACUUCUUUUUCAGGGGAAUAAAGUGAGGCUUGCGAGCCUUUUUGCAAGUACCCUGCGAAUAAGGAUCGGCUAACUCCGUGCCAGCAGCCGCGGUAAUACGGAGGAUCCGAGCGUUAUCCGGAUUUAUUGGGUUUAAAGGGAGCGUAGGCCGUCUGUUAAGCGUGUUGUGAAAUGUAGAUGCUCAACAUCUGAAUUGCAGCGCGAACUGGCAGACUUGAGUGUGCGCAACGUAGGCGGAAUUCGUGGUGUAGCGGUGAAAUGCUUAGAUAUCACGAAGAACUCCGAUUGA
This 420-nucleotide ribosomal RNA is filed under the name uncultured bacterium. RNAcentral describes it as "bacterial SSU rRNA". It matches the Rfam family "Bacterial small subunit ribosomal RNA", at positions 299 to 716 of the family's 1533-position model. The record is from RNAcentral.